Molecule: long non-coding RNA, 435 nt
Organism: Oncorhynchus tshawytscha (Chinook salmon)
Lineage: Eukaryota; Metazoa; Chordata; Actinopteri; Salmoniformes; Salmonidae
Source: Ensembl
UUUCCCCAAUGUGGCACUAAUGCAAUUCCACAGUAUGAGCAGCAGCAGAUUGGCACAUUAUCCCACCAGGUAGAAGCAGAUUGGCACAUUAUCCCACCAGGUAGAAGCAGAUUGGCACAUUAUCCCACCAGGUAGGAGCAGAUUGGCACAUUAUCCCACCAGGUAGGAGAAGAUUGGCACAUUAUCCCACCAGGUAGAAGCAGAUUGGCACAUUAUCCCACCAGGUAGGAGCAGAUUGGCACAUUAUCCCACCAGGUAGGAGCAGAUUGGCACAUUAUCCCACCAGGUAGGAGCAGAUUGGCACAUUAUCCCACCAGGUAGGAGAAGAUUGGCACAUUAUCCCACCAGGUAGAAGCAGAUUGGCACAUUAUCCCACCAGGUAGAAGCAGAUUGGCACAUUAUCCCACCAGGUAGAAGCAGAUUGGCACAUUAUCC